Molecule: long non-coding RNA, 206 nt
Filed under: Elaeis guineensis (African oil palm)
Lineage: Eukaryota; Viridiplantae; Streptophyta; Magnoliopsida; Arecales; Arecaceae
Description: long non-coding RNA (EGUI_LNC081749)
Source: RNAcentral
CCGAGCUUUUUCCUUUGCCGUUGUUAUUGUUGUAUUCCCUUCCCCUCCUCUCUCUUUUUCUUCUCUUUUCUCUUUUUUUUUUUUUUUUUUUUUUGAUGUCGUCCUUAGGUUAUCGGUGGUUGCCAUGCCGGCUCGCCUUUUAGUUAUCCCCUUCCUUCAACCUCAAUGGCUCUAUAAUGCAUACGAGAAGGUAAUUUUCCACUACC